Molecule: ribosomal RNA, 355 nt
Filed under: uncultured bacterium
Lineage: Bacteria
Description: bacterial SSU rRNA
Rfam family: Bacterial small subunit ribosomal RNA
Source: RNAcentral
GAAAUCCUCUGGGUUAAUACCUCGGGGGGAUGACGGUACCUGAAGAUAAGCACCGGCUAACUACGUGCCAGCAGCCGCGGUAAUACGUAGGGUGCGAGCGUUAAUCGGAAUUACUGGGCGUAAAGCGUGCGCAGGCGGUUGUGCAAGACAGGUGUGAAAUACCCCGGGCUUAACCUGGGAACUGCACUUGUGACUGCACGGCUAGAGUACGGUAGAGGGGGAGUGGAAUUCCGCGUGUAGCAGUGAAAUGCGUAGAUAUGCGGAGGAACACCGAUGGCGAAGGCAAUCCCCUGGACCUGUACUGACGCUCAUGCACGAAAGCGUGGGGAGCAAACAGGAUUAGAUACCCUGGUAG